UACGGAGGGGGCAAGCGUUGUUCGGAAUUAUUGGGCGUAAAGAGUAUGUAGGCGGCUGGAUAAGUCAGACGUGUAAGCCCACGGCUCAACCGUGGAAUUGCGUUUGAAACUAUUCAGCUUGAGUGCAGAAGAGGAAGGCGGAAUUCCCAGUGUAGCGGUGAAAUGCAUUGAUAUUGGGAAGAACACCGGUGGCGAAGGCGGCCUUCUGGUCUGUUACUGACGCUGAGAUACGAAAGCCAGGGGAGCAAAGGGG
RNAcentral lists this ribosomal RNA (253 nucleotides) under uncultured bacterium. RNAcentral's name for it is "partial 16S ribosomal RNA". It matches the Rfam family "Bacterial small subunit ribosomal RNA", at positions 524 to 776 of the family's 1533-position model. The record is from RNAcentral.